RNA transcript from Malania oleifera, 2577 nucleotides. It is a transcript of the gene named serine/threonine protein phosphatase 2A 57 kDa regulatory subunit B' beta isoform-like, with no coding region annotated. The transcript is spliced from 3 exons. NCBI's taxonomy places the organism in Eukaryota, Viridiplantae, Streptophyta, Magnoliopsida, Santalales, Ximeniaceae. The record is from RefSeq and is a predicted model, not a curated record.
AUUUUUCUUGUUUCUGUUUUCUGUUUCCCCCCCUUUAAUAAGCCCCACUUUUGUUAACUCGCCUCUCUAUCUCUCUCUCUCCCCCUCUAUUUCUCUUCUUCGCUCUCGUUCUCGUUCUCGUUUUUGGCUGUUGCUUUCAAAAUUCUCUCCGUUUCUCCCUCUCUUUUCGAUUUGAUCGUGAGAUUUCAAUUCCGGCGUUUGACUGGCCUGUGUUCCGGCAAUCUUAGUCGGAUGACUCAGCAUCCCGAUCCGCCACGGUCGAAAUUCCCGGCGACUCGAUUCAAACAAUGGUACAAUUCGUUUCUUCUUUUUUAUCUCAGAUCCAGACCUCUUUGAUCUCCAUAGGACCAUCUGGAUGCCGAAUCGUUUGAUAAUCACCCUCCGUUCGUUCUAUUCGGGGUUAGAUUUCAUGCAUGAUCUGUCUAGGUCUGUUUUGCAUCAAGUGCAUGAUUUGAUCGGUAGCUUGUGGAUUGUAACCUAGGGUUAGGGUUUAUUGGGUGAGAUGUUGAACAGAAUCAUUAAGCGCGGACACCGUAAGCCCUCGAAGUCCGACGCUAAUGAUUCUGGGGUGUUCGGAUAUAACACGCCAGGGUAUCGCAAUUCUGGAUCAGUCUCCACCUCGAAUGUGGUCGUGAACCAUGCCUCCCGAGCUGCUCCACCGAUGCCUGCGCCGAAUUCCAAUGCUCAGCCCGGGGGUCAAGCAAUUGUGGCUGCCCCGCCUUCUGGCGCCAUCGAGACCCUGCCUUUGUUCCGCGACGUACCUGCUCCAGACCGCCAAGCCUUGUUUCUUCGGAAGUUGCAAAUUUGUUGUUUCCAAUUUGAAUUUUCGGACACUCUGAAGUCAGUCCGUGAGAAGGAAAUAAAGCGGCAGAGUUUGCUUGAGCUUGUUGAUUUUAUACAGUCCGGGUCUGGGAAGAUUACAGAAAAUGUUCAAGAAGAAAUGAUUCGGAUGAUAUCAGUGAAUAUUUUCCGGUGCCUACCGCCAGCUUCCCAUGAGAAUACAGGGGCUGAGAACACUGAUCCAGAAGAGGAAGAGCCCUAUUUGGAACCCUCAUGGCCCCACUUGCAGCUUGUUUAUGAACUGCUUUUGAGGUAUGUUGUUUCAUCGGAUACAGACACAAAGAUUGCAAAGCGGUAUAUUGAUCAUUCCUUUGUGUUGAAACUACUUGAUUUGUUUGAUUCGGAGGACCCCCGCGAGAGGGAAUAUUUGAAAACUAUCCUGCAUCGCAUAUAUGGGAAAUUCAUGGUACAUCGUCCCUUUAUAAGGAAGGCAAUUAAUAAUAUUUUUUAUCGCUUUAUAUAUGAGACAGAGAGGCACAGUGGCAUUGGUGAGCUUUUGGAAAUUCUUGGGAGCAUAAUAAAUGGUUUUGCUUUGCCAAUGAAGGAGGAGCAUAAGUUGUUUCUUGUGCGGGCUCUUAUACCGCUCCAUAAGCCAAAGCCAAUUGCAAUAUAUCAUCAGCAGCUGUCAUACUGCAUUACACAGUUUGUUGAAAAAGAUUACAAAUUGGCAGAUACUGUUAUAAGAGGUUUGUUGAAGUAUUGGCCUGUUACCAAUUGUCAGAAGGAAGUUCUCUUUCUUGGUGAACUUGAAGAAGUACUGGAGGCUACCCAGGCGGCAGAAUUUCAACGCUGCAUGGUUCCUCUUUUCAGACAGAUUGCACGCUGCCUAAAUAGUUCACAUUUUCAGGUUGCAGAAAGGGCUCUCUUUUUGUGGAAUAAUGAACACAUUGUAAGCUUAAUUGCCCAAAACCGUGGUGUCAUUCUACCAAUCAUUUUUGAGGCAUUGGAGAAGAAUAUUCAGAGCCACUGGAACCAGGCAGUCCAUGGGUUGACUGUCAAUGUUCGGAAAAUGUUCUUGGAAAUGGAUAUAGAGUUAUUUGAGGAGUGCCAGCGGCUGUAUGCUGAGAAAGAGGCCAGGGCCAAAGAUUUGGAAGAGCAGCGGGAGUUGACAUGGCAGAGACUAGCAGCUGCAGCAGCACAGGGAGGGGGCGAGGAUAUGGUCACAGUGUGACUGAUUUCUUACUAUUUAGCAUCUCAUCAUUAAAAAAUGCUGGAUGGAUGGUCAGAUGUGCUCCUCUCCAUUUUGAUGGAAACUAUUACAGAACGCAGCAGCUAGGGCUUCCAGCAAAGUCCCAGUGAUCAGCAAGAGGAAACUUUAUUCAGCAAGGAGACUUGGGAAGAAUUUGUCAUUCUCUGCCAUGAAAAUACUGCGAUGUGCAAUGCAGUGCGAACAUGUACCGAUAAAUUACUUUGAAUUGAAAUGGUAUUUGAAAACAUCGAUUUCAAGCUUAUAUUUGGAUUUACGUGAAUUCCAAAGUAAAUAUAAUUUUAUAUUACUUUUUGUUUAAAUUCACACAAUUUUGAAUUUAAGAUUUGAAAUCCAUGUUUUUAAAAUGCAAGAUGUAUCUAUAUAGCCCUUAGGAAUUGAAUUCUAACAAAUAUGUUGAAUGCUUAAUCCUGGGACAAGCAGUUUCCACCAAGAGUAACGGAAAGGGGGGGGCUUGCUUCUGGAAUUGGGAUAAUUACAUGCUUCAUGCCAAAGUUGAGGAUAAUUAGCUUUUAUGGUUAUUUGUAGAA